CAAUAGCGUAUAUUUAAGUUGUUGCAGUUAAAAAGCUCGUAGUUGGAUUUCGGGUGGGACGCAGCGGUCUCGCAUUGCGUUUGUACUGCUGCAGCCCUCCUUCUUGCCGGGGGCGGCCUCUCGGACUUCACUGUCUGGGGGUCAGAAUCGGCGAUGUUACUUUGAGUAAAUUAGAGUGUUCAAAGCAAGCUUACGCUCUGAAUAUAAUAGCAUGGGAUAACACGACAGGACUCUGGCCUAUCGUGUUGGUCUAUAGGACCAGAGUAAUGAUUAAGAGGGACAGUCGGGGGCAUUCGUAUUCCGUUGUCAUAGGUGAAAUUCUUGGAUUUACGGAAGACGAACAUCUGCGAAAGCAUUUGCCAAGGAUGUUUUCAUUGA
Molecule: ribosomal RNA, 378 nt
Filed under: uncultured eukaryote
Lineage: Eukaryota
Description: partial 18S ribosomal RNA
Rfam family: Eukaryotic small subunit ribosomal RNA
Source: RNAcentral